RNAcentral lists this microRNA (23 nucleotides) under Ornithorhynchus anatinus (platypus). RNAcentral describes it as "oan-miR-7418-3p". Lineage: Eukaryota; Metazoa; Chordata; Mammalia; Monotremata; Ornithorhynchidae. The record is from miRBase by way of RNAcentral.
CCGAGCGCUCGGGAGAUUCCGAC